GAUCAGGCUCAGGAUGAACGCUAGCUACAGGCUUAACACAUGCAAGUCGAGGGGAAACGACAUCGAAAGCUUGCUUUUGAUGGGCGUUCGACCGGCGCACGGGUGAGUAACGCGUAUCCAACCUGCCCAUCACUUGGAAUAACCUUGCGAAAGUAAGACUAAUGCCCAAUGAUAUCCCACGAAGGCAUCCGAAUGGGAUUAAAGAUUUAUCGGUGAUGGAUGGGGAUGCGUCUGAUUAG
RNAcentral lists this ribosomal RNA (239 nucleotides) under uncultured bacterium. RNAcentral's name for it is "partial 16S ribosomal RNA". It matches the Rfam family "Bacterial small subunit ribosomal RNA", at positions 15 to 244 of the family's 1533-position model. The record is from RNAcentral.